AUUGAACGCUGGCGGCAUGCCUUACACAUGCAAGUCGAACGGCAGCACGGACUUCGGUCUGGUGGCGAGUGGCGAACGGGUGAGUAAUGUAUCGGAACGUACCUUUCAGUGGGGGAUAACGUAGCGAAAGUUACGCUAAUACCGCAUAUUCUGUGAGCAGGAAAGCAGGGGAUCGCAAGACCUUGCGCUGAUUGAGCGGCCGAUAUCAGAUUAGCUAGUUGGUGAGGUAAAGGCUCACCAAGGCGACGAUCUGUAGCGGGUCUGAGAGGAUGAUCCGCCACACUGGAACUGAGACACGGUCCAGACUCCUACGGGAGGCAGCAGUGGGGAAUUUUGGACAAUGGGGGGCAACCCUGAUCCAGCCAUGCCGCGUGAGUGAAGAAGGCCUCGG
RNAcentral lists this ribosomal RNA (391 nucleotides) under uncultured bacterium. RNAcentral describes it as "bacterial SSU rRNA". It matches the Rfam family "Bacterial small subunit ribosomal RNA", at positions 30 to 420 of the family's 1533-position model. The record is from RNAcentral.